CGUGGAGCGAUUUGUCUGGUUUAUUCCGAUAACGAACGAGACUCUAGCCUACUAAAUAGACUGCACAUUCCUAUUUGGUGUGUUGCGGUGCUUCUUAGAGGGAUUCGCGGAGUUUAUCCGCAAGAGAUUGAGCAAUAACAGGUCUGUGAUGCCCUUAGAUGUCCGGGGCUGCACGCGCGCUACACUGGCGAAAUCAGCGUGCUUGUCCUAUUCCGAAAGGAAAAGGUAAUCCUAUGAAAAUUUGCCGUGAUUGGGAUCGGAAAUUGCAAUUAUUUUCCGUGAACGAGGAAUUCCAAGUAAAUGCAAGUCAUCAACUUGCGUUGAAUACGUCCCUGCCCUUUGUAC
Molecule: ribosomal RNA, 345 nt
Filed under: Nematoda environmental sample
Lineage: Eukaryota; Metazoa; Nematoda
Description: bacterial SSU rRNA
Rfam family: Eukaryotic small subunit ribosomal RNA
Source: RNAcentral